Molecule: ribosomal RNA, 305 nt
Filed under: uncultured bacterium
Lineage: Bacteria
Description: partial 16S ribosomal RNA
Rfam family: Bacterial small subunit ribosomal RNA
Source: RNAcentral
ACAGCAGCAGCCGCGGUAAUACGGAGGGUGCAAGCGUUAAUCGGAAUUACUGGGCGUAAAGCGCACGCAGGCGGUCUGACAAGUCAGAUGUGAAAUCCCCGGGCUUAACCUGGGAACUGCAUUUGAAACUGUCAGGCUGGAGUCUUGUAGAGGGGAGUAGAAUUCCAGGUGUAGCGGUGAAAUGCGUAGAGAUCUGGAGGAAUACCGGUGGCGAAGGCGGCCCCCUGGACAAAGACUGACGCUCAGGUGCGAAAGCGUGGGGAGCAAACAGGAUUAGAUACCCGCGUAGUCCCUGUCUCUUAUAC